GCCUAGGCGUCUUGAGUAGCUGGGACUACAGGCACACACUAUCACGCCCAAUAUUUUUGUCUUAAGUUUCUAAGGAGUCCCAACACUGCACAGUAGCUGUUCAAUAUAUUUUGAGUGAAUGAUUAAAAACAAGCUUGGUGUUGAUUUUAUUGGUACAAUUUAUAUUUACAUAUGUAAUGUUUAUAUUAUAUGCUUUUUAUAUAUUUAUAUGUGUGUAUGUAUAUAAUUGGCACCAACGUAGCAUUGCUGUGCUUAAGUGCCUGAGAUGUAUCUCAAAUGAAUAGACCUGAGGAGAGAAGCUUGUGUCAUUAGCUCUGACCCUGCAGCACUAAUCCUGGUUUACCCCUUUAUUUCACUCACCCUGAGCACAUCAAUUUAUUUGGUGAAAGAGCUUACACUUUAACAUCUCACUGAAAUAGCUCAUUCCAAAGAAAGAGCUAGUUCUAACCUCUCACAAGUGCUUGAGCAUUUGCAUAAGUGAAAUUUCACUGUGUGAGUUUCACCCAACACCACCUCUGCUCCAGCUCCUGCUACUCUGCUGCUCAUACCGUGGAACUCCACAGGUGGAGUAGAAGAUCAUCAGAGAGAGUUUUAUUUGCAGUAAAUUCGGUGUGCAACAGGCCAAGCAACGAGGAGUCAAGGUGAGGCAGAAGAACAGCAGAGGGAAGUGGAAGUUGGAUAAAGGGUGAACUGAGUAGGAGCGGAAGCAGGAUAAAGAGGUGGGUGAGCAAGAAGCAAGAUAAGCAGAAGUUGAGCAGCGAAAACAAAAGUGAGAUGGAGUAGUGAGUAAAAGUUUAUGGCUGGCAGGAUCCAGAGCAAACCAGUAAAAGGCAUGCAUAUGACAGAGAAAAAGUAGCCUUAAAAUGACCCCGUAUGAUAAUCAGCUCAUUAAAGCUAAUGCAUAUGGAGUGCAUAUCAUGGGUGUACUUAAAAUUAUGGGAUGGAGGUGAUGCGGAAGCACACAGGGGCCAAGUAACUAAGCAACCCACCUAUCAAUCAGAAGGCACAUGGUGGGUAGAGAUUAGGCAGCCCCAGGAAGAGGAGAAAAAAGAAAAAAAAAAAACAUGUAAAAAGACCCAAAGCCCAAAGUUCACCAAACUGACGCUGAUCCCAUUUUGCAGAAGUCAGCCCGUUCUCCCCUCUCUGAGAGUGUUACUGUGCUUAAUAAGUCUCUUGCUGCUUUGCUACAUGUGUGUGUGUCACUUCCAAUUCUUUGUUAAAGACACCAAGAACCUGGGACUUCACAACACCAGCCGGUAACAAAGAUCUCUGUAAGACACAAAAGUUGGAUGACAGUCGUUUUGAUUCUUGGACUUUACUAGAGACUCCAAAGACGCAUCUGAGGAGAAAAGCUCUGGGUCCCUGGGAUGACUGUGCCACUCGACAUAGCCUCCUGGAGUGGCCAAAGAGAGUGUGGAUAAGAAAAGAAAUAUUGGAGUGAACUUUCACUCACUCCCACUUCUGUAGGUUUCUUAAAAUAUAUGGGUUUAGAAGCAAGAUACUUGGCGUUUUCAAAUGACUCAAAAGAGAUGUAGAUGAAGAGAAGUUCGGUCAUCCCACAGAUCUUCCGGAGUAACCUGGACACAUCCCUAAAUCUCUAGCUCCUGGGUCUUCGAAAGCCUGUUUGCCUCAGGGUUGGGAGGAAAGGGUUUGGAAAGUACCAAGGCAAGCGUUGGCAAAAAGAUUACCUCAUCAGUGAGGAAAUGAAAUUUCCAGAAGUUUUCGCCAGAUCUGGGACCAGAGACAAAUGCUGGAUGAAUUUCCUAUGCAAACCUCUUUUAGAACCACCGCUUCAAAGGCCGUCCAGAGACUUCAAAUUAGAUCUGGUGAAACUGCUCCCGGUAGGGGAUUGGUAGUUCAGCGGUAGAGGUUUUUGUCUCCCACGCCGGCGACUCCGGUACGACUCCCGGCCAUGCAGGACUUCUUACUCUUCCGGCAGGAAGGGCUACUACGUUUCUACCCAACAAAGUUAUUAUAUUAUACAGGCUGUACUGCAUUUAUGGACCUUGGUCGUGGCAGCUAGAAGCUAACCUGAGGGGCGUGCCACCUCUGGAGCAUUCUCUGUGCUCGAACUAAUAAUCCCGGAAUUUACGUUCCUGUGCUCGAAGCCUGUCCUUGAAAGUGGGGAGUGUUUCCGGUGGGUUGCUGCAGUUUUAAAUACUGGGAAUUAAAACCUUUGCUACUUUCAUCUAGUCUCCCGGCAAACCCCUGGGUAACCCAAAGCCCAUCAGAGGGAUUCGCGUGCUGGGCUUUCCGCUACGUUAGGCCACGUCUCACUAUGGAGCGAGGAUCAAGAAGGUCCGGGAAGGAGAGAAGCUGCGGGGUCCAGGGAGACUCUUCGGCGGUUGGUCGGAGAGGUUUCAGCGGCCCAAGGAAAAGGGAAGCGUGUGGGAAUCUAUCCGCGUAGAGAUGAGGGGCGCGGCGGAGACAGUCCCACGCAGAGGUAUGCCCAAACACCGAGUUACUUAACCUCCUCAACCACCUUGGCAUCCGCGCCUUCCGUGGGCCCAUCGGUCUUCCGGGAGAGAUUCUGUGUCCCUGGUAUUGUGUGUCAACAGGUGUUAGCCUGAUAGUUAUAUUUUUAAUGAGAGAAAACGAACUACAGAAUUUGCGAGUUUUGUUUUUUUUCUGGUUUUGCUUUAUACCUCUUGGAUUCUCCUUCCAAAGGAGACAAAAACCUCUACCUCAUUUAAUAUGCUAAUUAGCCUGCAUUUUACAACAGAUUGUAUUAGAGCCUGGAUACACAUCCAACUCGAUUCCAUGUAUGGAGCCGUAGUUGAUUUGGUCAAUAACUUGCAUUGUUCUGCAUGAGAACUUCCACAAUUUGCUUCCUCAUUCUAAUAGGGUUUGCUUGAAUUAUAUGAAAUCACCACCUUUAUUGGUCAAAACCAGCUGAAUAUUGGCAAUUUCAUGUGGUUCAACCUAAUAGUCUGCAGGGGUCUGGGGAGAUCAUAGCAUGUGAAUAUAAUGUUGAAUGAGACAUAGGAAGAAAGAAACAAGAUAGCUGGGACAAAGGGUAUUGAAUGAGUAGAAAAAAAAGUAGUAAUCUUUUUGUUUGGGUUAGGUGUGUGUUCCCAAGGGAAAUAAUUUUUGAGCAUGUAGCUUGAAAGUAAUAAUACCACUUUUAGGUAGUACAAAUGGCUCAGGGGAUCAAUUGGGAUUUAGGGAGCGGGGCUUUUACCUGCAAUCUGUCCAAUUUAGUCAGACUAACUUGCAAUUUUUACACUGUUAAACAUCUUAUAAAUCUGAGACCAACAGAUCAAAGAAAAGCUCUUUCAAUUGAGUGUCUGGGUAACUUGUGGCAAAUUUUUUAUCCCCGUUGUAAUGUGAUUCCUCCAUCUCUAAAGUGAAGGCAUGGAUUACCCACUCAUUCUCAAUCCAAUGUGAAAGGUCCAGAAUUCUGUGUCAGAGUUAAGAGAGUCCUGGUGCAGUCAGCAAGGGAAAGUAAUUUUUCCAAACUGCCUGUGCUAAAAAUAAACCCAGGGUAGUCUCAGGGGAGAGCUACCCAGUCCCUUUCACGGACAGUAAAUUCACUGUGGUGGGAGGUGAAGAUGGACUGAAAACAAAUACCU
This 3572-nucleotide long non-coding RNA is filed under the name Homo sapiens (human). RNAcentral's name for it is "HSALNT0295406". The record is from RNAcentral. Lineage: Eukaryota; Metazoa; Chordata; Mammalia; Primates; Hominidae.